GCUGGUAUGGUGGGUAAGUAUGAUAUAUUCGCUAUUAGACAUUUUGAUUGUAUGUGUUGUAUCUGACGUUUUCUAUAUAUUGGGGUUACAUUUAUGUUCCUUAUAGCUGUCUCACCGUAUUUGGGUGUGUAGAGUUUGAGUUUGACGUACUGUACUAUUUAUUAUAGUUAUGCACAUACAGUUGGAGUCCAGUUAUUACCUUUUUCUUUUUCUGUGUCUCCUUUAGCCUUAAUUCUUCAUGAUUUGCCAUAUUGGAGCUGCGGUUGGCUACGUUAGCCGAAGUUGGAUGUUCUGUAUUUGGUCUUCGUUAUCCGCAAGAAAGAGGGGGAUUGUGGGUGCUUCAAGUAUUUUAUAGUCAC
Pelobates cultripes (western spadefoot toad) is the source of this 359-nucleotide non-coding RNA. Lineage: Eukaryota; Metazoa; Chordata; Amphibia; Anura; Pelobatidae. The record is from the annotation of a GenBank genome assembly.